GCUGGCCACUUUCCCCAAAUUGGCCGGACGGCAGCCUCCAAAUCGCCGAUUCGUCGUCGCUAUUGCCUCCUGCCACCACCACCACUUCUCGGCAGCUCGGCCUCUUUGUGUCAAGUUAAUCACUGCUCGUCCCCAGCUCGUCCAAGCCACAGCUCGCCUCUGCUCUCCCAUGGACGACACGGCGCACGCGCGACGCCGGCGGUCGAUUUCCCUCGAUGGCUAGGUCGCCGCCUCUACCUCCACUUCGUCGGCUCCUCCAUAGGCUUUGUACGGAUUUGGUAGUCAGCCCGCCGGAGCCCAAGAAGAAGCACAGGGACAUCGGUCUCGCCUGCGUCGUCGUCAAGCGCAAGCUCGUGGUGGAUGCUCUGCGCCGUCCUUGGCGCCUUCGUCCUCAUUGAUGUCUCUAUCAGCAUCAGCGUACUCCAUGGCCCGCCAUCAGUCAAGUACAUCGACGCUGUCAACAAGGUGCUCCAAUUCUUCAACUACAGAAAUGAUGACGAAUCUGCAGAUUGAUCUCUGGUGAUGGAAACAAGUUGGGGAAGAGAGAUCCCUUCUCUUCCCAGCAGCGGCCAGCUGCCAGUAAUUGGUGAUCCCAGCCUAACACCGGCGGCCAGGGAAUUGGCGAUCACAGCAGGGGUUAGCGGCUAGCCAUUGAACUAGGUUUCCAGAUCUUUUUUUGCUGAUGUUUGUUGUGCCGCCAUCCAGUUUAUAUAGAUGCGAUGGAAAAAAUGGCGCCUAGAACUGGCUGCGGGAGGGAAGAAUUGGCGCCAAUAAGUUUGUUGAGGAAGGAGCGGAGAGGAAAAUGUCUGUUACGGAGAGUUUUAUGUAAUCUUGUUUUCUCAAAAACGAGUAUUAGUCGUUUUUGAUAAAACGUAGUUUCCUGGCUUUGUGGAAA
Triticum dicoccoides is the source of this 895-nucleotide long non-coding RNA. RefSeq lists it as uncharacterized. The record is from RefSeq and is a predicted model, not a curated record. The transcript has 2 exons. NCBI's taxonomy places the organism in Eukaryota, Viridiplantae, Streptophyta, Magnoliopsida, Poales, Poaceae.